This 1346-nucleotide ribosomal RNA is filed under the name uncultured bacterium. RNAcentral describes it as "bacterial SSU rRNA". It matches the Rfam family "Bacterial small subunit ribosomal RNA", at positions 28 to 1381 of the family's 1533-position model. The record is from RNAcentral.
GACGAACGCUGGCGGUGCGCCUUAUGCAUGCAAGUUGAGCGAAGCUUUUUGGUAGUUUACUACUAGAAAUGACUGAGCGGCGAACGGGUGAGUAACGCGUGAGCAAUCUACCUUAGUUACUGGGAUAGCCCGAGGAAACUCGGAUUAAUACCGGAUAUUCUUAUUUUUUCACAUGAAGUUUUAAGGAAAGGUCAGCCGAACUAAGAUGAGCUCGCGUUCUAUCAGCUAGUUGGUGGGGUAAAAGCCUACCAAGGCUACGACGGAUAGCUGGUCUGAGAGGACGAUCAGCCACACUGGGACUGAGACACGGCCCAGACUCCUACGGGAGGCUGCAGCAGGGAAUAUUGUGCAAUGAGCGAAAGCUUGACACAGCGACACCGCGUGUGGGAUGACGGUUCUAGGAUUGUAAACCACUUUCAGGAGGGAAGAAAAUGACGGUACCUCCACAAGAAGACCCGGCCAACUAUGUGCCAGCAGCCGCGGUAAUACAUAGGGGUCAAGCGUUGUCCGGAUUUAUUGGGCGUAAAGAGCUCGUAGGCGGUUCAACAAGUCGGUCGUAAAAGUUUAGGGCUCAACCCUAAAAUGUCGAUCGAUACUGUUGUGACUAGGAUACGGUAGAGGUGAAUGGAAUUCCGAGUGUAGCGGUGAAAUGCGUAGAUAUUCGGAGGAACACCAAUUGCGAAGGCAGUUCACUGGACCGUGAUCGACGCUGAGGAGCGAAAGCUAGGGGAGCAAACAGGAUUAGAUACCCUGGUAGUCCUAGCUGUAAACGAUGGAUACUAGAUGUAGGAACUGGAUUGACGGUUUCUGUAUCGUAGCUAACGCGUUAAGUAUCCCGCCUGGGGAGUACGGUCGCAAGACUAAAACUCAAAGGAAUUGACGGGACCCCGCACAAGCGGCGGAGCAUGCGGCUUAAUUCGAUGAUACCCGUAGAACCUUACCUGGACUUGACAUAUAGGGAAAAACUGGAGAAAUCCAGUGUGCGUAAGCGCCCUAUACAGGUGGUGCAUGGCUGUCGUCAGCUCGUGUCGUGAGAUGUUGGGUUAAGUCCCGCAACGAGCGCAACCCCUGUCCUAUGUUGCCAGCAAGUAAUGUUGGGGACUCAUAGGAGACUGCCGGUGAUAAACCGGGGGAAGGUGGGGACGACGUCAAGUCAUCAUGCCCCUUAUGUCCAGGGCUGCACGCACGCUACAAUGGCAAGUACAACGAGUCGCAAUACCGCGAGGUGGAGCAAAUCUCUUAAAGCUUGUCUCAGUUCGGAUAGGAGUCUGCAACUCGACUCCUUGAAGUUGGAGUCGCUAGUAAUCGCAAAUCAGCAAAGUUGCGGUGAAUACGUUCUCGGGGUU